This 635-nucleotide ribosomal RNA is filed under the name Arthrobacter sp. Se3Ps_2736. RNAcentral describes it as "bacterial SSU rRNA". It matches the Rfam family "Bacterial small subunit ribosomal RNA", at positions 380 to 1027 of the family's 1533-position model. Lineage: Bacteria; Bacillati; Actinomycetota; Actinomycetes; Micrococcales; Micrococcaceae. The record is from RNAcentral.
AGCCUGAUGCAGCGACGCCGCGUGAGGGAUGACGGCCUUCGGGUUGUAAACCUCUUUCAGUAGGGAAGAAGCGUAAGUGACGGUACCUGCAGAAGAAGCGCCGGCUAACUACGUGCCAGCAGCCGCGGUAAUACGUAGGGCGCAAGCGUUAUCCGGAAUUAUUGGGCGUAAAGAGCUCGUAGGCGGUUUGUCGCGUCUGCCGUGAAAGUCCGGGGCUCAACUCCGGAUCUGCGGUGGGUACGGGCAGACUAGAGUGAUGUAGGGGAGACUGGAAUUCCUGGUGUAGCGGUGAAAUGCGCAGAUAUCAGGAGGAACACCGAUGGCGAAGGCAGGUCUCUGGGCAUUAACUGACGCUGAGGAGCGAAAGCAUGGGGAGCGAACAGGAUUAGAUACCCUGGUAGUCCAUGCCGUAAACGUUGGGCACUAGGUGUGGGGGACAUUCCACGUUUUCCGCGCCGUAGCUAACGCAUUAAGUGCCCCGCCUGGGGAGUACGGCCGCAAGGCUAAAACUCAAAGGAAUUGACGGGGGCCCGCACAAGCGGCGGAGCAUGCGGAUUAAUUCGAUGCAACGCGAAGAACCUUACCAAGGCUUGACAUGAACCGGAACGCCUGGAAACAGGUGCCCCACUUGUGGU